UACGAAGGGUGCAAGCGUUAAUCGGAAUUACUGGGCGUAAAGGGUGCGUAGGCGGUUAGUUAAGUCUGUCGUGAAAUCCCCGGGCUCAACCUGGGAAUGGCGAUGGAUACUGGCUAGCUAGAGUGUGUCAGAGGAUGGUGGAAUUCCCGGUGUAGCGGUGAAAUGCGUAGAGAUCGGGAGGAACAUCAGUGGCGAAGGCGGCCAUCUGGGACAACACUGACGCUGAAGCACGAAAGCGUGGGGGGCAAACAGG
This 253-nucleotide ribosomal RNA is filed under the name uncultured bacterium. RNAcentral's name for it is "partial 16S ribosomal RNA". It matches the Rfam family "Bacterial small subunit ribosomal RNA", at positions 524 to 776 of the family's 1533-position model. The record is from RNAcentral.